RNAcentral lists this ribosomal RNA (476 nucleotides) under uncultured Planctomycetales bacterium. RNAcentral describes it as "bacterial SSU rRNA". It matches the Rfam family "Bacterial small subunit ribosomal RNA", at positions 365 to 831 of the family's 1533-position model. Lineage: Bacteria; Pseudomonadati; Planctomycetota; Planctomycetia; Planctomycetales. The record is from RNAcentral.
UUCGCAAUGCCCGAAAGGGUGACGAAGCGACGCCGCGUGUGGGAAGAAGGCCUUCGGGUUGUAAACCACUGUCGGGAGUUAAGAAAUGCAAGAAUGUUAAUAGCGUUUUUGCUUGACUAAGGCUCCGGAGGAAGCCACGGCUAACUCUGUGCCAGCAGCCGCGGUAAUACAGAGGCGGCAAGCGUUGUUCGGGAUUAUUGGGCGUAAAGAGCACGUAGGCGGCUAUAUAAGUCGGUUGUGAAAGCCUUCCGCUCAACGGGAGAACAGCAUCCGAUACUGUGUGGCUUGAGUGUGGGAGGGGAGAGCGGAACUUCUGGUGGAGCGGUGAAAUGCGUAGAUAUCAGAAGGAACGCCGGCGGCGAAAGCGGCUCUCUGGCCCAUAACUGACGCUGAGUGUGCGAAAGCUAGGGGAGCAAACGGGAUUAGAUACCCCGGUAGUCCUAGCCGUAAACGAUGGGCACUAAGUAGAGGGGUUU